RNAcentral lists this ribosomal RNA (253 nucleotides) under uncultured bacterium. RNAcentral describes it as "partial 16S ribosomal RNA". It matches the Rfam family "Bacterial small subunit ribosomal RNA", at positions 524 to 776 of the family's 1533-position model. The record is from RNAcentral.
GACGUAGGGGACGAGCGUUGUCCGGAUUCAUUGGGCGUAAAGCGCGCGUAGGCGGUUUGUCGCGUCUGCUGUGAAAACUCGAGGCUCAACCUCGGGCUUGCAGUGGGUACGGGCAGACUAGAGUGCGGUAGGGGUGACUGGAAUUCCUGGUGUAGCGGUGGAAUGCGCAGAUAUCAGGAGGAACACCGAUGGCGAAGGCAGGUCACUGGGCCGCAACUGACGCUGAGGAGCGAAAGCAUGGGGAGCGAACAGG